Molecule: ribosomal RNA, 106 nt
Filed under: Heterocephalus glaber (naked mole-rat)
Lineage: Eukaryota; Metazoa; Chordata; Mammalia; Rodentia; Bathyergidae
Source: RNAcentral
CUGUAUGGCCAUACCACUCUGAAUGUGCCUGACCUCUUCUGAUCUUGGAAGCUAAGCAGGGUCAGGCCUUGUUAACACUUAGAAGGGAGAAUGGAAACUAUGGAGA